This 448-nucleotide long non-coding RNA is filed under the name Xyrichtys novacula (pearly razorfish). Lineage: Eukaryota; Metazoa; Chordata; Actinopteri; Labriformes; Labridae. The record is from RNAcentral.
ACAUUCAUUUAAUUACACAGGACGUGUGCUGUUAAAGACGUACGGCUCCCCGCAGAGACGAGACGAGUCACUGAUCCUGGACCAGCGUGAAGAAGACACACAGCGGAUAAUUUAAUGAGACAAAUCAGGUUAAAUUCAAUCAGAGCUGAUGCUGCUGCAGAGUCCAACACGUCCACCCUAGGAAACAGGAACACUGCUACUGCUGCAGGUGCCUCUGGUUCAGAAACUGGUUUCAGCUUCACUAUAAGUCCUACAUUAUCAGUCUGUGUCACAUGUUCAGUUCAGGCCUGAGGUAAUCACACUCAUGUCCUAAUUUCACACUGGUUUGGAAAAGAUUUGGAGCACAUGCAUGCAGCAUUGUCACACAAAUUUCAGAUGUACCAGUUUGCAUGUUAAAGGGACCUUAAGUGUCUGUAAAGGAGUGCACCAAUACACCAGUUCUUACAAA